UAACCGGCGAUACCCGAAUGGGGAAACCCAGUGUGACUCGUCACACUAUCAUUAACUGAAUCCAUAGGUUAAUGAGGCGAACCGGGGGAACUGAAACAUCUAAGUACCCCGAGGAAAAGAAAUCAACCGAGAUUCCCCCAGUAGCGGCGAGCGAACGGGGAGGAGCCCAGAGCCUGAAUCAGCAUGUGUGUUAGUGGAAGCGUCUGGAAAGGCGCGCGAUACAGGGUGACAGCCCCGUACACAAAAGCGCAUGUGCUGUGAGCUCGAUGAGUAGGGCGGGACACGUGGUAUCCUGUCUGAAUAUGGGGGGACCAUCCUCCAAGGCUAAAUACUCCUGACUGACCGAUAGUGAACCAGUACCGUGAGGGAAAGGCGAAAAGAACCCCGGCGAGGGGAGUGAAAAAGAACCUGAAACCGUGUACGUACAAGCAGUGGGAGCACCCUUUGGGUGUGACUGCGUACCUUUUGUAUAAUGGGUCAGCGACUUAUAUUCUGUAGCAAGGUUAACCGAAUAGGGGAGC
This 521-nucleotide ribosomal RNA is filed under the name Salmonella enterica subsp. enterica serovar Enteritidis. RNAcentral's name for it is "partial 23S ribosomal RNA". It matches the Rfam family "Bacterial large subunit ribosomal RNA", at positions 101 to 666 of the family's 2925-position model. Lineage: Bacteria; Pseudomonadati; Pseudomonadota; Gammaproteobacteria; Enterobacterales; Enterobacteriaceae. The record is from RNAcentral.